Molecule: microRNA precursor, 85 nt
Filed under: Gorilla gorilla gorilla (western lowland gorilla)
Lineage: Eukaryota; Metazoa; Chordata; Mammalia; Primates; Hominidae
Also listed under: 1 other name
Description: miRNA (ENSGGOG00000038507.1)
Rfam family: mir-6511 microRNA precursor family (bases 10-76)
Source: RNAcentral
GGGACGGGGCCUGCAGGCAGAAGUGGGGCUGACAGGGCAGAGGGUUGCACCCCCUCACCACCCCUUCUGCCUGCAGCGGUGGGCU